Molecule: ribosomal RNA, 219 nt
Filed under: uncultured bacterium
Lineage: Bacteria
Description: partial 16S ribosomal RNA
Rfam family: Bacterial small subunit ribosomal RNA
Source: RNAcentral
UACGGGGGGAGCAAGCGUUGUUCGGAUUUACUGGGCGUAAAGGGCGCGUAGGCGGCCUGUUAAGUCGAACGUGAAAUCCCCGGGCUCAACCCGGGAACUGCGUCCGAUACUGGCAGGCUUGAAUCCGGGAGAGGGAUGCGGAAUUCCAGGUGUAGCGGUGAAAUGCGUAGAUAUCUGGAGGAACACCGGUGGCGAAGGCGGCAUCCUGGACCGGCAUUG